RNAcentral lists this ribosomal RNA (496 nucleotides) under uncultured bacterium. Its description in RNAcentral is "partial 16S ribosomal RNA". It matches the Rfam family "Bacterial small subunit ribosomal RNA", at positions 28 to 506 of the family's 1533-position model. The record is from RNAcentral.
GAUGAACGCUGGCGGCGUGCCUAAUACAUGCAAGUCGAGCGAACAGACGAGGAGCUUGCUCCUCUGACGUUAGCGGCGGACGGGUGAGUAACACGUGGAUAACCUACCUAUAAGACUGGGAUAACUUCGGGAAACCGGAGCUAAUACCGGAUAAUAUAUUGAACCGCAUGGUUCAAUAGUGAAAGACGGUUUUGCUGUCACUUAUAGAUGGAUCCGCGCCGCAUUAGCUAGUUGGUAAGGUAACGGCUUACCAAGGCAACGAUGCGUAGCCGACCUGAGAGGGUGAUCGGCCACACUGGAAAUGAGAAACGGUCCAGACUCCUACGGGAGGCAGCAGUAGGGAAUCUUCCGCAAUGGGCGAAAGCCUGACGGAGCAACGCCGCGUGAGUGAAGAAGGUCUUCGGAUCGUAAAACUCUGUUAUUAGGGAAGAACAAAUGUGUAAGUAACGAUGCACGUCUUGACGGUACCUAAUCAGAAAGCCACGGCUAACUACGU